This 255-nucleotide ribosomal RNA is filed under the name uncultured bacterium. Its description in RNAcentral is "partial 16S ribosomal RNA". It matches the Rfam family "Bacterial small subunit ribosomal RNA", at positions 524 to 777 of the family's 1533-position model. The record is from RNAcentral.
GACGAACCGUGCGAACGUUAUUCGGAAUCACUGGGCUUAAAGCGCGUGUAGGCGGGAGGGCACGUCCGUCGCUGAAAUCCCCCGGCUCAACCGGGGAACGGGCGCGGAUACGACCUUCCUGGAGGGGCGUAGGGGGACCUGGAACUUCCGGUGGAGCGGUGAAAUGCGUUGAGAUCGGAAGGAACGCCCGUGGCGAAAGCGAGGUCCUGGACGCCUACUGACGCUGAGACGCGAAAGCCAGGGGAGCGAACGGGG